UACGGAGGGGGCGAGCGUUAAUCGGAAUUACUGGGCGUAAAGGGUGCGUAGGUUGUUUGUUAAGUUAUCUGUGAAAUUCCUGGGCUUAACCUAGGGUGGUCAGAUGAUACUGGCGGACUUGAGUAUAGGAGAGGGCAGUGGAAUUUCCGGUGUAGCGGUGAAAUGCGUAGAGAUCGGAAGGAACACCAGUGGCGAAGGCGGCUGCCUGGCCUAAUACUGACACUGAGGCACGAAAGCGUGGGUAGCAAACAGG
RNAcentral lists this unclassified non-coding RNA (253 nucleotides) under uncultured Legionellaceae bacterium. Its description in RNAcentral is "contains 16S-23S intergenic spacer region". It matches the Rfam family "Bacterial small subunit ribosomal RNA", at positions 524 to 776 of the family's 1533-position model. Lineage: Bacteria; Pseudomonadati; Pseudomonadota; Gammaproteobacteria; Legionellales; Legionellaceae. The record is from RNAcentral.